RNAcentral lists this ribosomal RNA (491 nucleotides) under Daphnia pulex (common water flea). RNAcentral describes it as "partial 12S ribosomal RNA". The stretch from base 132 to 491 matches the Rfam family "Microsporidia small subunit ribosomal RNA", at positions 752 to 1267 of the family's 1311-position model. Lineage: Eukaryota; Metazoa; Arthropoda; Branchiopoda; Diplostraca; Daphniidae. The record is from RNAcentral.
GAUGGUGAAAUUUUGUUGAUAAGGUGAAAUUUUUAAUUUAAGGGAAAUUCUUAAGAAAUCUGUUGAGACUAAAAAAUUUAGGUAAAAAACCAGGAUUAGAUACCCUGUUAUUCUAAAUAAUAGUGUAAAUAGGGUAGUAAAAGUUGUUCUUCAAACCCAAAGAUUUUGGCGGCAUCUUAUCCUAAUAGAGGAGCUUGUCCUAUAAUUGAUAGUCCCCAUUUUAUCUUACCCUUUUUUGUUAAGCUUGUAUACCGCCGUUGUCAGACUACUUUAAAAGAACGUUUUCAGGAAAAAUAUUUUUCUUACUUCAGGUCAAGGUGCAGUUUAUAAAAGGGCAGUGAUGAGCUACAAUUUUUAAUAGAAAUACGGAUUUUAGGCUUAAAACUCAGGUGAAGGUGGAUUUAUUAGUAAAUUUACUUAAGUACAGUAAGUUGAAUAAGGCAAUAGGAUGUGCACAUAUCGCCCGUCACUCUCUUCUCAAGAGGAGAUAA